Molecule: transfer RNA, 68 nt
Filed under: Brueelia antiqua
Lineage: Eukaryota; Metazoa; Arthropoda; Insecta; Psocodea; Philopteridae
Description: tRNA-Cys
Source: RNAcentral
AACUUAAUAGUUUAUUUUGAAAACUUCAAGUUGCAAGCUUGACAAAAGGAGUUAAUUCCUUUAGGUUU